Malus domestica (apple) is the source of this 1219-nucleotide long non-coding RNA. RefSeq lists it as uncharacterized. The record is from RefSeq and is a predicted model, not a curated record. Lineage: Eukaryota; Viridiplantae; Streptophyta; Magnoliopsida; Rosales; Rosaceae.
AAUUGGGUUUGAAUCUCCUACACGUGCGCUCUCCUCUCAUCUCUCAUCUCUCAUCCCUCCUUUCUCUCCUUCUACUGGAAAACCCACAAUCUUUGAUCUUCCUCUGCUCUUCCAUUCUCUCCGCUCCCCAUAUCUCUCGAUGUGAAGCCCACAAACCAAGUAGUGACGUUUGAAAGCCUCAAACAUGGCGGCACGAAAUGGAGGUACAGUGACGGUCGACAACCGCCUCCGUUGGCGAUGAAUUUGGCCGUCAGAAAGGGUCUUAUGAUAUGUCAAUUAUUCUUUUUGCGUUUGAUUGGGAGUAUAUAAAUUACGGUUUUUGGGGAUUUUACUCAAAUGAAAACUGACUUUUCUGUUGCCGGCGACCUCUGCUUGCUUGCUCCCUUUCUCAGUCGAUGAGUUUAUAAGAAAGGGACAGGGUAGGGGUGGUUUGAACUGCAGGAUGGGUUCUUCCUAAUCAUACUUAACUUAAGAAGAUGAUUGUCAUCUGUACCAGCAUACUAAAAUCAUUUGUGCACUCCGUGUGCUAAACUGCAUCCUACCCUGCAUUCAUGUUAAAAUCAUUGAGAAGAAGAUGGCUACUCAAAUCUAAAAGUUACUUAAAGGUCUUAUUUACAUCGGGCAGGCUUUCACCGGACUCAAGAAUUUUGAAAAAAGCGCAAGCGACCUUUUCAAAAUUCUCCUGCAGAAAUUAACUGAUCUUUAAUCCCCUUGAGUCUGAGCAUGAACUUGUCCACAUAAUCUCCUCCUUUCUGUGUAAUGUGAAAUUCUGUCUUCAGUUGAUUCAAACGAACCAUUGUUACUGAUGCAAAUCUUUCUUGUAGGCAGUUCCUGGCUUCUUGUGAACUCUUUCAUCCAAUGACAUGCUCUAUAGCAUCAUUGGAAAGAGUAGCAAAAGCAAAAGAGUUUAUGUGCGUUGUAGAAACCAGAAAACAAAAGAACCUGAUGGUGGUCGAAAUCUUGACCCAAAUCACAAAAAAGCACAAAUCUUAAUCCAAGAACUUCAAAGAACCCAGCGGAAGACCGACACUGAGGACUGUCCCGCGAGUGAUACCAUGAUAACAGAAGUGAAGGAUUGCUGAGAAUGUAACAAUGUUGCAGAGAAAGUAACAAGCAAAGAAGAGAGAAGAACAACUCUUGAGAGAGAAAGAGAGAAAAUGUAAAUUGUAUUUCUGUAUUGCUUAAUCGAAAUGAUCAGAGUUAUUACUCUGUUUAUAUA